Lotus japonicus is the source of this 1053-nucleotide long non-coding RNA. RefSeq lists it as uncharacterized. The transcript is spliced from 2 exons. Lineage: Eukaryota; Viridiplantae; Streptophyta; Magnoliopsida; Fabales; Fabaceae. The record is from RefSeq and is a predicted model, not a curated record.
UGUACCAAUCAUCGUCAAGUAAUCAAACGUUAUCGCCAUCUGCCAUUUUGUGAUAAAUACUAGGCUUACUAAUUAGACUCUGGUUGAGCGGAUAAAAGUGGGAAAUGAAUGGUGGAGGUCGUGUUGAUCUAGCACAUGUUCAUCCUCGAACGUGGAGUGAGGUCUCCGACCACGCUUAGUCAUAACAACUCUACUAGAAGUGUGAUUUUCGCUUCACCGUUAAUCCAUUAACUAGGAUCUCUCCUAUCUCUGGUAAACAUGUGAAGUGCACCUUCUCAAAGUCUCUUUUGAGUGCUCCAGCAGUGUUGCGGAUAAUUGAGAAUAAAUCCAUAUACUUACUGUUGUGGCAAUCUUUUUCCCAUCUUAGUAGAGUUGCCUGGAGUUCUGUGAGUACUACCAGAUUCAUAUCAUGAUAUUCCCACCAAAGACUACGGUUGUUGUCUUGAAAAAUGUUCAUUGACUCUUGGGGAGGUAUGAAGAGUAUGAUAUCAUUGUGCGGAGAAGAAAUUCUACAAGGCACGAAGAGUAUGAUAUCAUUGUGCAGCCUCUUUUUAUUAGUCAUAAAUGAUGGCUGCUAAUUUUAAACCAUAAUAACUAUAGGUAAUAUAGGGUGAAAAAGCUUCCCACUAAUUUUCCUUGGAACUUUCUACAUCAAUUCAAGGUCAAAUUAUACUGUGUGUGUGAGAAGGCAUAUGAACUUCUAGAUUUUGUAGUAUGUGUCUGUCUAUAGUAGGAUUUCAUAAUUCUGAAGCAACAUGUAUGAAUUUUUCAUCCAUCAAAAGAAAAAACAUAAUUGUUUUUUAUUUUGGUAAUAGCUACUAGCUAGCUAUUAUGGAUAGUUUAUCUCUAAAAAUUAUUGUAGUACUAUACCAGAGUGCAGUGGACAUAGAGAUUAAAUUAACCCAUAAGUUUAUAAUGGCAUUAUGGAUUCAGUGUGGUACUGUGGUUCGAUUUAAGUUAUGGAGAAUCUUCAAGUAGAGGGUGGCUUGCAGGCGAAGUGAUUGCUUCACUUCAUUGUAUGAAUGUAAAAUUAAUUCUUGAACAUUUCUUAAA